UACGACGAGACCCACUCUCCCUAUAUCUAUAGCUGUAAGACAAUGCUGACGGAAUCGGGUUUGCCGAUUUUAGGUAGAUAACAACGAUGGCGAAGAAGAACACACCAAGUGUUUCACCCUCCCACUUUUUGGGGUUUGUGGUUUUUUCUCUCUGCUUCUUCGUUCCAAAAUCUGUGUUGGGUGUGAAAAAAGAGCUGCGAUUUAGAAAAAAUGGACAGUUCAAGAUACUGCAAGUGGCAGAUAUGCACUAUGCGGAUGGCAAGACCACGUCUUGCCUCGAUGUGUUCCCAAAUCAGAUGCCUACUUGCUCUGACCUCAACACCACUGCCUUUGUUGAGCGCAUGAUUCAAGCAGAGAAGCCCGAUUUUAUUGUUUUCACUGGGGAUAACAUCUUUGGCUUUGAUGCCACGGAUGCUGCAAAAUCACUGACUGCUGCAUUUCAGCCUGCAAUUGCAUCAAACAUCCCGUGGGCUGCUAUUUUGGGGAACCAUGACCAAGAAUCCACUUUGUCAAGGGAAGGGGUCAUGAAACAUAUUGUUGGCCUUAAGAAUACUCUCUCUCAAGUCAAUCCCGCGGAGGUACACAUCAUUGAUGGUUUUGGGAACUAUAACCUGGAGAUUGGCGGGGUUAAAGGUUCACGAUUUGAAAAUAAAUCAGCUCUUAAUCUUUACUUCCUUGAUAGCGGAGACUACUCCACAGUUCCUGCAAUCCCUGGCUAUGGUUGGAUUAAACCCUCUCAGCAGCUUUGGUUCCAACGCACCUCUGCGAAGCUUCGGAGAGCAUACAUGAGAGAGCCAGAGGCUCAGAAAGGACCUGCACCUGGGCUGGUGUUCUUUCACAUCCCAUUGCCUGAAUUUGCAAGUUUUGAUUCAUCAAGCUUCACAGGAGUGAGACAAGAAGGCAUUAGCUCUGCUUCUGUGAACUCGGGCUUCUUCACAACCAUGGUAGAAGCUGGGGAUGUGAAAGCUGUUUUCAUCGGACAUGAUCAUCUCAAUGACUUCUGUGGUAAGCUUACUGGUAUACAACUUUGUUAUGCUGGGGGUUUUGGAUACCAUGCCUAUGGGAAGGCAGGGUGGUCAAGGAGAGCGAGGGUGGUGUUGGCAUCUUUGGAAAAGACAGAGCAAGGAGGUUGGGGAGUUGUUAAGUCUGUCAAAACAUGGAAGCGCCUUGAUGAUGAACACCUUACUGCUGUAGAUGGUCAGGUCCUUUGGAGCAAGAGCCCUGCUGAUGUUUCGUAGUUAAGCAACAAAGUACAUAAGACAUUGGAAAUGCGUGCAGUGCUUGCUAGGAGUCCGUAGAAAGAAGCAGACUGGCAGCCCUGAGUAACGAGCACAGAAGAUGGCUUAACACCGAGGAAGUGAGAAGCGGAAAUGUUCCACAUAUUUGUAACCUUAUUCAUCGAUUUUGAUAUACGUGUCCUCGAAGUAUAUGUAAACAGUGAAGGUAAUUACAACAGACAAUAAUGGAUGAUCAUGUUUUAGGAAGGUUCUGUAAUUCUUCUAAAAAAAUUUCUAAAAUUUGAUAAUAAAAUAUUGGGUUUUUUCGUUUA
This is an RNA transcript of Populus euphratica (Euphrates poplar), 1549 nucleotides long. It is a transcript of the gene named purple acid phosphatase 14, with no coding region annotated. The record is from RefSeq and is a predicted model, not a curated record. The transcript has 5 exons. NCBI's taxonomy places the organism in Eukaryota, Viridiplantae, Streptophyta, Magnoliopsida, Malpighiales, Salicaceae.